RNAcentral lists this long non-coding RNA (332 nucleotides) under Hordeum vulgare. RNAcentral's name for it is "long non-coding RNA (HVUL_LNC002916)". The record is from RNAcentral. Lineage: Eukaryota; Viridiplantae; Streptophyta; Magnoliopsida; Poales; Poaceae.
CAUUAUGUUCAAUUGAUCCAGAUAUCCUAGUCGGAUGGGAGAUUCAGUUAGGAUCUUUAGGAUUUCUUGCUGAAAGAGCUGCUUAUCUGGGUAUAGGCUUACUGAAAAGAAUCUCAAGGACACUACCACAUGAGUCUAAACAUCCACCUAAGAAUCUAGCCCAUGAGUCUAGUCAGGCGCCACCUAAGAAUCUAGCCCAUGAGUCUAGUCAGGCGCCUGAAGCAUCUCCUGCUGAUGAUGUUAUUGUGGAUGUCAGUGAGAAUGAUUGGAGUCAUACUCAUGCUAGUGGUGUACAUGUUGGUGGGAGAAUCGUAUUAAACUUAUGGCGUCUC